AGUUGAGGGACCAUUGCUCCAAUUUGAUUAAAGUUGAGGGACCAUUUGUACAAUUUACUCUUUCUAAAAUCCUCUAUGCUGAUGAGUCGGCCUCUGGCAUCUUUGACAAGUCAAAGGCCAAUUUGGGUCCAAGUGGAUUUCGUAAAGGAACAAGGCCAGACAAGCUUUGCCUCUAAGUUUUCCAAACCCUAAUUAACCCAAGGUGUUAAUUUACCUAUUUAGAUUUCAAAAAAGGGUUAUGCAUCCCAGCAAAUACGUGCACUUGCAGACUGUCCAGAUAACGCACUCGUGAGGCGGCGAUAUUAUCCUUGAUCACAACCUAAUUGAUUUAUCAACUAGUUAAUCAAUUAAGAUGAUCGCAGACGAGUUCAACAAUUAUUCAAUGUUUUAUUACUCAAUAAUAAUCAUCACAAAAAGAAGAAAAAGCUCAAGUAGUCAAUUACCAAAAUAUAGAUGCAUUGAGCCUAGCCACAAAAAACCAAAUGCUUCACUUAUGUAAGAGAACCCAAGGAAAAGUUGUUUUUGAGGCUAAAGGAAUGAUGCAUCUUUCCUUCUUGUGAAAUGAAUUACAUGUAACAGGAAUUAUCGAUAUCAUGAUUUUUCAAAUUAAUAAUACAGAAUAUAUAGAUUUUUAUUGUUGUAUUUAUCUAAAAGGUGUUUAAAGUAAAGGUAUUGAGUGAGAACUUACGAUGGUAUUCCCUGGGACCCAUAUGACUUUACAACUUAUUACCUGAGCACCAACAUUUGACUUGGUUAAGGUAUAAGAUCGGAAAUAUUCUGUAAUCAAUAACUUUGUCAUCUUUUAAAAUCCAACCAAUACUAAUAUUAUAAUCCUCAAUUAGUUUGAUAAAGUUUGUACUAAUUCAUGUAUCGGCGACAUCUACCGCACAAAUCCCAUGUACCGGUUACAUCUGUUAUACUGAAAUGAUGGAAAAACUUCAUCUUAGCUAGCAUUUGAUGAUGAUAUCAAACUUAUCUUUUGUUCAUUUUCAUCUAGAUAGAUAGUUUGAAGAAUAAACACUUAGUAUGCAUAAAACAAACCAAGUAAUUUCAAGGAGCACUCGGAGAACUUUGUAGAAAAUAGAGAAGUAAAUUUUCAAAAAGAUAUAUUGUUGCAGAUCAAAUUCACCAUCUAUUAACGGGCGAUCAGCCAUAUUCAAUGAUGAUUUUAUGUUAAAAUAGAAACAAUUUAGAAAAAGAUCAAACUUAUUGAUUGAUAUUGUUUGAAAUGAAUGAAGAUAAAAGAGGAAGCGUACUCUCAUACUAACAGACUACAACCAUCUUGUAACAAUAUGUUGGUGCAUUCUUAAUCUUUACUAACUAAUAAAAUCCUUUUUGUCAACCAAAAAAGGGUGAAAAGACAAAUUAGACUUCUAUCACAAAAAAAAAAACGAUGGGCUAUAAUGUAAUUUCACAAGUCUAAAGUUUAAUGUUUUUAUUGAAUACCUCCAAUAUUAAAAAAAAAAACAAAAAACUGAAAACAAAAACCUCCCACUCCCCCACGUGCUCUCUCUCCCUCUCUCCCUCUCUCCUCAUUUUCUAAAAACAAUGUGUUUAUACACAUAAAGUGUAUAGGCAAAUGCUCGUAUUAAAUAAAUUAACUAUUUGUUAUUCGGAAACUAAGAUGAUUGUUAUUAUUUGUUGUUAGUGGGAAAUUCAAAUUCAAUCUUUUAACCUUCUUAUGCAACUUUGUAACUCUUUCCUUGUUGUUUUAUGUUUAUUACCCUAUUCACUCAUGGUGAUAAUAAACUUAUAUUAUUCACUAACCAAUAUCUUCUACAACUAUUAUAUUGUCAAUUUUCUCCAUCUUUUUUUAUUGUUACUUAUUGGCCAAAUAAAGGUGUUCGUGUGGUGGAGCUUUGGACUCUUCAUUGUGUGCAGAUAGGUUUGAGUCACACAACGAUCCAGGGCUGUUGUAUCUUGGAUUGGACAUAUCAAGGGAUAUAUUGUUGCACUGGUUCAUGGACGUUGUCAAAUUGCAGUGAGCUUGAACUCCUUAAAGAGAGCGAGAUACUCGUGCCUCAGCCUAAUUGUCAGCAUGCUUCUUAAGGAGAUUCAAGCAAUUUUAAGGAGAUUCAAUUCAUGGAGCCUGCACCUAAGAAGUCAUUCGACAAUAUUGGAGAUCUCAACAAGUCAUUAUAUUUCAAGGGAAUUCAUUCCAAGAUGUGGAAGGGGAAAGUCCUUUUUCUAUCUCAAUCUUUUCAGGGCGCGUUUAUUAAUCUGUAAUCAAAUUAAGAGGAAUUGAAUUGAGGAGGAAUUGAAAUGAGGUGGAAUCUGAAUCAGAUUCAUGUUGAAGUUGUUUACUAAAACUGUCUGGAAUAAGAGUAGGAAUUAUGUUGAGUCCAUAUAAGUUGUUUACUAAUUCACUUCAAUUGAAAUGAAAACUAAGUUUAUUACUAUAUUGCCCUUACAUAAAUAAAUUAUUUUCAUACUAAUUAAUUAAAUUUAUAUAAUAGGAUAAAUAAAAAAAAUGUAAAAAAUAAAUAGGAGAGGAAAUAAAUAGGAUAAUUAAAUUUAUAUCAUCAUCUUCCCCACAUCAUCACGCAUUAAUUUUCUCUUUCUUCUUUCUCCUCCUCCUCUUCCUCCAUUUUCUGUCUUUAAUUACAGAACCCUUAGUCCAUAGUAUUCAGAACCCCCACCCCGCAGCUUGGGGUAUUUAUCCAGAACCCCCA
This 2672-nucleotide long non-coding RNA is filed under the name Malus domestica (apple). Its description in RNAcentral is "long non-coding RNA (MDOM_LNC016513)". Lineage: Eukaryota; Viridiplantae; Streptophyta; Magnoliopsida; Rosales; Rosaceae. The record is from RNAcentral.